UUCUUAGUGAGACUAUGCCUCUGGACUUUGAAACUGACAAGUAUUUCUCAGGGUUUUUUUCUCCCCACUUCGGUGGGACAGGAUGGGCUGGAGUUGGGUAUUUCCCUUCCCCCAGGCCAGUUAGGCUCUGAUAAUACCUCAGCAGGUUGUUAUCUGGUUAACUAGUUUCCCUGAGAGCAGGCCUUGUUAAGAACAGAGUGCUCUGGUAUAUUUCAAAUGGCUCCUUUUCCCCUCCCCCUCGGAAGCCCAAGGGGAUUCUGCUCAGAUAUUUACUGUGAGAACUCCACCAAGUUCUUAGAGGUAAAACUCACAUAAGUUUGGGGCCCUCCCUAAGACUUGGUCCCCCUGCAGUUUUUAACUUUCAGACUUGUCCACAUUGAGUCUUCUUUAAUUCAUUAAUCACAGUGCAGGUUUUCCUCCCCCUGCACUGGUUCCCACAGCAGUAUCCACUGAAGACUGCUCAGCUCCUGGUAACUGUUACUGAGCCCUAAAGGACCGGUGAACCGCAAGUGGGUCCUGUUUCCCAGAGCUGCUCGCGCCAGUAGAAGGAGACCGGGUUCAGAGCAGCAGAGCGCAAACUUUAUUCGUUGAUCAAUGAAUGGAGGAGGCAGAGCUCAUGCUCUAAAAACACCGUCUCCUCCAAGGGAAGCUUGGAGGUGGAGAAAAGUGCCAAGGACAAGGCCAUGAAGAAUUUGUCUGGUGCCAGCCACAGGGGUGAAGGUGAGGUGAAGCCACACAUUCUUCAUCUCCAAGGAGCCAGGGUCCAGGAAGAGUCCAAGACCGGGCAUCCUCAUGCCACCCAGUGAUCCUGAUGUGCCCCUAGGUUUGGACAUCUGUGAUACAUCUCACCCUUUGCCUUCAGAACUGGAUGUGACCUCUCGGUGUCAUUUGAUGAAACGAGGUCAUUAUGCCUAAGGAUUCAACUACCACCUGUAUUAUGCACGAUGACUCUCCAACCUAUACGUCCAUCCAGACCUCUCUGAUGAGCUGAGAGCAACAUCUCCAACUACAUUCUCAACAGCCACACCAACUUGUGACCUCCCUGACCAAUCUGCUUCUCAAAGCUGAAACCCGGGCGUCCCUCACUUUGCAAUCCAAUGGUUACCAAGUCAUGUUAUCUGUCUCCUCCUUUGCACUUUACUUGGGGCCUUGAUUGCCUCUUUACUGGAUUAUUUUAACACUCUUUUUACUCAUCUCUUAGGACCCAAACUUCUUCCUGCUUCAAGUCUAAGUUCUAAAAUAUGGCUAUGAUCACAUCAUCUUUCACUUCUACUUCACAUCCUUCAAUGGUUUCCAAUAACCUACAGGAUGAAGUUCUAAGUCCUCAGUAUGGUGAUCCAUGCCACUGAUGAUAUGACCCCACAUGGCCUCUCCAACCUCAUUUCUGACCACUUUCUAAUUGCUAUCUGGUGUUCCAGUAUCACAGAACAUUCACUGCACUUCCCUGAAUCCAUAAUGUGGUUUAACACUUGCUGUUGCCUUUGACUGGCAUGUCCUUCCCUACUGAUAUACCUGGAGACCACCCGCCCUUCAACCCAAAGCUCAGGGCUUACUUCCUUGCUGAGAUGUUCUCUGACUCCUUCCCCUCAUCCUUUCCACGGCCCUUCCUCUUGGCUAUCACUGUGCCUUGCUUAUGCAUUUCUUUUUGUUCCUGUCUCGCAUGACUUUCUUUAUUCAUGUAUCUGAAUCCCAUCUUUGUGUCUUAUCAUCUUUGUGUCAUGAGUACUUAACACAAGGCCCUCACAAUAGACACGCCUAAUGAUAUUUCUGAAUGAACAAAUGAAUGAAUGAAGGAGCCAUACUAGACAGAUGGCAUCUGUCCUAUUUAUGAUCAAAAUUACCCCCAAGGAGUUGUAAUUCUUUGAUGAGUUUCUCAUUCCUCUCUUCAAAUAAGUUUCUAUCUUCCGCCAGCUGCUGAAGCUCUUUGAAUGCUUUAAAAUGCAGAAUUCAAAAUUGGCUGCCAAGAAAUGCCACUUCAUUUCCUUUCUAGAAUAGCAUAAUUUUCCCCAUGACCCAGACAAAACAGCAACCCUUGGCUAAUGUUUCAUAAAAAGGGAUUUUUUUUCAGGGAAAAGGGGUUAACUAGAGCGGAAUUUAUCUUGGCUCAUUUCCGCGAUGUUUGCUCCCUAGGUGUUCCUGUCCAGGUGUGAGGACUCUUUCCUGUCUAGACACAGGGGCGGGUCAUUCCAGGUCAGGCUUUUAAUCUGAUGGUGACCCCACCUCAGGAAGUGCCAGGACCCUGUGAACCUUGCAGGCUCCCACAAUGUAGUCAUAGAUCUAGGUGAGGACCACAAUUUACAAGGCGUUUCUCUCUCCAACAGAGAGCAGAUUAGUCAUCUUUCUAAAAAUAGAAGGAGCAGGCACACAGGGGCACUUGUCUUCACUGGGAGCCCAGCCAGCAAAGCCCGUAGACCGACUGGAAGAGUUGGGUUAAGAUGAGCCCCGGGGGCGGUCCUGAGAUUACCCACAGUUUGCCCAACGGUAGUGGGGCAGGCGCCAGGGGCAGAAAAGAGAAACCAGAUACCACUUUUUUGAUGCCCGAGGUUUUCUCUUCUGGUGUGUCCCUGGAUAUAUCACCUCCCCCUGCUCCUGGAGGCGGGAGGACAGAAUUAACAUCCACUUCAUCCCUACUGGGAAGCAGGAAGUGUGUUAGAUGCUUUUCUUUUUUGACUUGUUUUAGUUUUAUUUGCAUUCUUAAAUCUCCAUUUUGCAAGUGAGGAGUCUGAGGAUCAGCCAGGCCAAGUAACUCGCUUGAUUCUACACAACUAGUAAGAUAGAGCUGAAAUGUUAUUCUGGGUAGAUGUUAUUUUAAAGCCCAUGCUUGUUCCACUUAUAUUGGUGCUGUGAGAGAAAAACAGCUAUAAAAUCUGGUUUUUGUGCUUGUGUACCAGAAUUCACACCUUAUGUUAGCCCACCCAGUUUAUGGUCUUAUUGGGCUAAUGUGUCCAGAACAUUCUCAGGCCAACAUUUGGGCAAUCAAUCAACACACAUUAUGUGAAGUGACUGCCAGGUUGAUCCAAAGAGGCAGAAGAUUCAGCCCGUGUGGCAGGAUGUACAGGCCUCCUGGCAAGAUGCAGAGCCCCAUGGUAAUAUAGGAGCUGCUGCAAGUAAGCAUGUCAGCAAUUCUGGACAUUUCUACUAUGACACCCAUGAUGGUGAUGAUCUCAUGGGUGACACAGUCCCCUGGGUCUUUGUGGGACAAUAACUGUCACAUCUCCUCUUUUGGACACUCAAGAAAGUGUGUUAGGCUGCAAGUAAUUGGGAGAAUGUUGUUAAAGGGAUUUCUUGAAUGAAGGAGGAUCUUUGGUAUUUUAAUUGUUAGUAACUAAACACCAGUUGCAAUCUCACAAUAGAUGACGGUACAUCCAUGUGUUUGGAGCUCCUGUGCCUACGAAUCAGUGCAGGAGACAGCCAAAAGUCUAAUGUGGACAAAACAAGCUGUGAGCUGAGGGGAGGGGGAUCUUGAUGGGGCUGGAGCAGGUGGAUGCCUUAUGGGAAAGAGCAGAUGAUGGAGACUCAUGCUAGCGGGCCUGGUAUGUGGAGGAGUUUAAUGAAUGGAGUGAAUUGAAAAAUGCAGGGCACAAAAGGGCCUCAUGCCAAAGGGCUGCAGAUGCCGGCCAGUCACACCCAAGGUCCAGCCCAAGGCAGGAUCCUGUCUCCCCAGGGCAAUGAGGCCACACAAGUAAACCCUCCCCCAUCCUACCUGCAGACUCAGUAUCUUAGGGAGAGAAUCAGGUGGAGAGGGGUGCUCUCGGAGACACUGAGUAUUUUCUAAAGCAACUGCUUGACUUAUCAGACUGGAUUAUGGCUUAAAUAGAAUAGCAUAAGAACUGUUUCCUCCCUUAGCCAGAGGGUAGGGGCUUGCAGGGUGCUUAAUAAGGAGCUUAAUAAGGGCUAAAGUGAAGGAGCUACAUAGUCCCUACCCUAAGUGGAGCGUGAAAUAAAUUUUGUGACUCUAUUACAUUUAUAUUGCUAUUUGCUGGUUUUUCUAUUUUAGAUUGUGUCUUUUACCACCUCAUGGCACUUUCAUCCUAAUUUUUGGUAGUUAAUAAGACUAUCUUUAGUUCUUCUGUUGGUACCUUUGUGUGACUUCAAAUUAUAUGCUUCAAAUCUCUUUCUUGUUCCGUCAACUUUCGGUGAUGUCUCUGAGUUCCCAUUUUGUACGGUAAGGACACUCCUCCAUCCACUACUCCUUCUGCAUUCUAAUUUUGGUCAUUUGGAUAAUUAAUGUUUAUCUUCUGUUCUGUAACCACAUUUGAGUCUUAUUUUACAUUAUGUGUAGGCUGAUUCUAAAAGGUUGAGAAUCAAAAAUAAUUUUAUGCUGCUUUGGCUAGGGAAUACUUUUCCCUGCAGAGCCACGUGUCAGUGUCAAGAUGUCUGCACCUCCAGGGGGGCGUGAACACCGUGUAACAAAUUACCAUAAGCUUAGUGGGCUACCAAAUGACGCAGGUGCUUUGUGGCUUACCAAAACAACGCAAAUCUGUAGUUUUGGAAGUCAGAAGUCCUCUGCUGGUCUCAGUGGGCUAAGAUCAGUGUGUCAGCAGGGCUGGUUCCUUCUGGAGGCUCUAGGGGGAAAAUUUGUUUCCUUGCCUUUUCCAUCUACUGAAGGUCACCUGCAUUCCUGGGCUCAUGGCACCUUCCUCCAUUUUUAAAGCAGGGACCAUUGCAUUUCUCUGAUCCUUCUUCCAUUAUCAGUUUUCUCUCUGACAGUAGCCUGUAAAUGUUCUCUGUUAUUGAGGACUCAUAUGAUUAUGUUGGGCCCACCUGGAUAAUCCGGGAUAAUCUCUCCAUCUCAAGUUCCAUAAUCUUAAUCACACCUGUAAAGUCCCUUUUGCCAUGUAAGGUACCAUAUACACAGCUUCCAAGGAUCAGGGCAUGGACCUCUUUAAUGAAUUGUUAUUCCGCCUACCACACAAAAUAAAAUAUUCCUCGUGUUGAGAAGAAAUAGAUUCUACUUCUUAUACUCCCAUCAGUUGCUCAAAAUUCACACUACAUUUUAAUGUGCUUCAUUUUUGGACUGCAAUUUUCUUAUUUAGGUUUUUUUGUUGUUUUCAGUGGAGUCUCCGUUUUUCUUUUUUUUUUCUUAGAAGAAGUAUAUUUUCUCUACAUCAAGUCCUUAAUGUCUUCCUGCCUUUUGCCUCAAUUCUAUGUGUUAUUAAGAUCCACAUUAGCCUUUUUUUUUUUUAAUACAAUGUUUUUGGAGCUCACCAAAUUCUUGUUCUCGUUGGGACCAGUUGCUUUCUAGGCCUACUGUUCUGUUCUCACCUGGGAUUUCUUGUCCUUGAACUCUUGGUUUGAUCCCAUCAUUUCUUAUAUUCCACAUCUUCAUAUUUGUUGUAUUUUACCCUAAUUUUCAAGCAACUUCCCAUGAAACAAUGCAUGGGAGAUAACCUCUCUGCAUUCUUAUGUGAAAAAUGACCUUCCCCAAUCGUUUACAUUGUUAUCUUGUAUUUUCUUGCAUUACCUUGAUUCCGAUUUCUGGUAUGAUUUGGCUUUCUGAAAAAAAAAUGCCAUUUAUAUAUUUUCUAUGAAUUAUUCAUAUUUUUUUCUAACUUUUAACUGGAUUGUCUUUUGCUAGAGCUAUUUUUAUGUAUAGUGGAGGUUAUAAUACAUAUUGCGAAAUUUUCUUCCAGAAUAUUGCUUAUUUUAAUCUUUUGUUUAUGGAGCUUUUUGCUUCAUACAGUUUAAAUUUAUGGCUUAAAUUUAUGUAAAGUGUUCAGUCUUUUCCUUUAUGGCUUCAGGGUUUUGGGUUUUGCUUAGAAAGACUUAGAUAUUCUAAGUUAUACAGAUGUUAUUACGAUUUUUUUCUGAUAAAUGUGUACUUCUAUUUAUGUUUCAUUCUGAAUCCAUCUUGAAUUUGAGUCUAUGUUUAUUAUAAAGUGUUAAAAUUUUCAAAUGGAUAGCCAGUUGUCUCAACACCAUUCGUAUAUUAGUUUAUCGUUUCCAUCCUGCUUUGAAAUGCAAUCUGCGUCAGAUUAUAAACUCUUGUAUAUUCUUGGGACUUUUUCUGAACUGUUGUUUUCUAUUGAUUUAUUUGUUUGGCCCCUCACCAGGAACACAUUUUUUAAAUUCCAGUAGCUUUAAAGAGUCUUUAGACAUGCACGACAACUUACUUCUUGUUAUUUUAUGAAAUCAUCUUGUAGAAUUUUGUAUUUGUACUUUUUCCUGAAAUCUUAAGAAUAAGGUAGAUAAACUCCAUAAAAAUUCUUUAGGAUUUUGAUUGGAAAACAUUGAAUUUAUAGAUUAAUUUGAAGAGCCUCUUUACAACAUUGCCUCUUGUUACAGGAAGUUAUUCUGACACUUGUUGAAAUGGUAAGAAAGACUUCACUCAGGGCUAUUGCGAUAGGUGUCGACUGUCACAACGUGGGAGAGAGAUUGGGCUCAACUCUGAAUACAGCAAAGACAAGUGGCAGUUUAUAGCCAGUGAGCAGAUGAGUGGGUGAAAAAUUACUAAGAGGAGACCUCAAGGGUAGGGAGAUUCUUGAUAAACCAACUUAGGAUUCUUGCGGAAGGAAGACCAUGGUGGUCAGAUGUCAAGGACUGGGGGAUUCUUGUUAAACUGACUUAGAAGGACUCUUCUAGCAGGCUGAAGACAGGAUCCAAGGAUGAGGCCUAGUUGAAAAG
Molecule: long non-coding RNA, 6624 nt
Organism: Equus caballus (horse)
Lineage: Eukaryota; Metazoa; Chordata; Mammalia; Perissodactyla; Equidae
Source: Ensembl